This 76-nucleotide transfer RNA is filed under the name Caudoviricetes sp. RNAcentral describes it as "tRNA-Thr". It matches the Rfam family "tRNA". Rfam says of the family: Transfer RNA (tRNA) molecules are approximately 80 nucleotides in length. Their secondary structure includes four short double-helical elements and three loops (D, anti-codon, and T loops). The record is from RNAcentral. Lineage: Duplodnaviria; Heunggongvirae; Uroviricota; Caudoviricetes.
GCCUCCAUAGCUCAACUGGUAGAGCAGCUGAUCUGUAAUCAGCAGGUUGCGGGUUCAAGUCCUGCUGGCGGCUCCA